RNAcentral lists this transfer RNA (67 nucleotides) under Marmota monax (woodchuck). RNAcentral's name for it is "tRNA.Ala". The record is from RNAcentral. Lineage: Eukaryota; Metazoa; Chordata; Mammalia; Rodentia; Sciuridae.
GGUUGUGGCUCUGUGGUAGAGCACUCGCCUAGCAUGUGCAAGGCCCUGUGUUCAAUCCUCUGCACCA